This 141-nucleotide non-coding RNA is filed under the name Nocardioides scoriae. Its description in RNAcentral is "Marmoricola scoriae SAM-I sequence". It matches the Rfam family "SAM riboswitch aptamer (S box leader)". Rfam says of the family: The SAM riboswitch is found upstream of a number of genes which code for proteins involved in methionine or cysteine biosynthesis in Gram-positive bacteria. The SAM riboswitch acts at the level of transcription termination control. The predicted structure consists of a complex stem-loop region followed by a single stem loop terminator region. The record is from RNAcentral. Lineage: Bacteria; Bacillati; Actinomycetota; Actinomycetes; Propionibacteriales; Nocardioidaceae.
AGCUCAUCGAGAGGGGCAGAGGGACACGGCCCGCUGAAGCCCCGGCAACCGCCGCACGAGACCUCCGACGUCAUCGGACCCGCGUGCGGAAGUGGUGCUACAUCCGUCCCGCGCCGAGAGUCGGCCCGGGGAAGAUGAGAA